This 1782-nucleotide long non-coding RNA is filed under the name Populus trichocarpa (black cottonwood). RNAcentral describes it as "long non-coding RNA (PTRI_LNC001067)". Lineage: Eukaryota; Viridiplantae; Streptophyta; Magnoliopsida; Malpighiales; Salicaceae. The record is from RNAcentral.
GAGAUCUGCAGUUUCAGUCGUCAGGAAUCCUCGCCGGAGGUUUCGAAUGGUUGCUGAUCUUGCCAAAAGAGCUGAAGCUGAAAGGAAACGUAAAAAUCUCCAGGUCAGAAAACUUUAUAGUGCCCCGCUGUUCAAGUUUUUGUGAUCUUAAUUCUUCGUGUUUUUCUUUUUCCUUUUUAAAUAUUAUUUUAUGAGUUUGAUUUUUUUUUUGAAGACGUUAAUGUUACUAUCAUAAAUUAAGUUGUUGUUAACAAAAUGACGGUUGAGUGUUGACUUGUAGCACAUUUUUAUUGACAUUAACCUAAUUCACACAAAUUAAUUAUUCAACAUUAAUUAAUUAUUUAUAGUACGUGUUUUUACCACUCUUAUUAUUAAAUUCUUGGGUUUAAACCCUCGGCCUUCAUCUUAAUAGGGUUUAUUCCCUAUUAAGAGCUAGACAUAUAAGAAGAUUUCGCAAAUCUUUUAGGGUUCAAGUCUUUUUAAUUAACAUUCGAAUGAAAAGAAAUUGAGUCUGAUUGAUGCAUGACAAAAUGUUCCUAUAUGUUACUGUAAAUAGUGAAUAAAUUUUAUAGAAGAAGAUGAAUAUCGUGCUAGUUUUAUUAUAAACCUUGAGGUAUAUCAACUCGCAAACAAUCCAAAAAACAAUUUCUGUAAAAUCAGCAUCAUUGAAAGCAAGAAUAUUAUUCAACACACACAGAGAUGUGUCCCUUGCUUACCUCGAGAUCAUUUCUGAAAAAGUCAUGGAAGUUUUGGGUUCGAGCUUUUUGUUGGUUGACUAGUAUAUGUUCACUAAGAAAAAGUGACCCUUCGCCGAUAUUUCUUUUCCUUUAAUGGCACGGUGCUUACAAGAGGGAAUGCCUUUGUUGACAUAUUCAUGCAUUGAAAGCUUUGAUUUCUUAUCACGGACUGGUAGUUGUUAUAUAGUCGUCAAUUAGCAUUAACGAACCCUAGGGGACGCUAUGACUGUUAUCGCCGGAAAGUCCGCGUUCAAACCUUUUAACGGUGGGGUGGGGGUUUGGAAAUUUGGACGAACAUUUCUCAAUCUAUUCAUUUGAUCAGAUAUGACUUCAGCAUUCUUGUUAGGGAUGUGUAACAAUUACACCCCGGAACUAUGAUAUAAACAGAAACGGUAAGAAAUUGUUCAUAUGAACAACCGAUUCAAAAUAGCCAUGAAUUUUGAUCUGAUUACUGGGUUGGUUUGAAUUUUACUAGUGUACAAAAUUGAACUUGAGCUGAGCCUUUACAGAUGUUACAAAUUUAUUCGCUGCUCAGAUUCACCAAAUUGCACUCCCAAUGCUAUCAAAUUUGCCUUGGAAAUUUCAAACUAGUUUUUAGACUUUUUCUUUAAUUUCAGAUUUGAAUUUUAUUAUUUUUCCUAAUUGGUUGUUUCCUAGUUAUUUACGAAUGUCUCUUUUCAUAUUUGAUGAGACUUUUGCCGAAUAAAACUGUAGACUUGUACAACUUUGAUUGUAUUUUUAUCUAGUCUUAGAGUUGAUCAGACAUGUGUCAAACACAACUUCAUAGCUUUCUCCGCGUCAAUCACUGUAAAAGUCAUAUGGAUCUUAGGGAACCUCCCUCUCAUGACACCAACAUUUCUGGAGUUAACUGCUUGCUAAAGUUUCAGAGCUUAAUUUGAAUAUGUAUCCUUUUCACAGGUUAAUUAGCUACUAACCUGUUCUAAGAAGAUGAGAUGAGAACGAGGGUAUUCUUUAAUUUCCUCUAUUAAUUAGUAUAAUCUGUUUUAAAUAGCUGAUACAGAAGGCAGGUAAAUAUUCUUUUAAG